GAUGAACGCUGGCGGCGUGCCUAAUACAUGCAAGUCGAACGCACAGCGAAAGGUGCUUGCACCUUUCAAGUGAGUGGCGAACGGGUGAGUAACACGUGGACAACCUGCCUCAAGGCUGGGGAUAACAUUUGGAAACAGAUGCUAAUACCGAAUAAAACUUAGUGUCGCAUGACACAAAGUUAAAAGGCGCUUCGGCGUCACCUAGGGAUGGAUCCGCGGUGCAUUAGUUAGUUGGUGGGGUAAAGGCCUACCAAGACAAUGAUGCAAAGCCGGGAUGAGAGACGGAUCGGCCACAUUGGGACUGGGUCACGGCCCAAACUCCUACGGGAGGCUGCAGUAGGGAAUCUUCCACAAUGGGCGAAAGCCUGAUGGAGCAACGCCGCGUGUGUGAUGAAGGCUUUCGGGUCGUAAAGCACUGUUGUAUGGGAAGAACAGCUAGAAUAGGAAAUGAUUUUAGUUUGACGGUACCAUACCAGAAAGGGACGGCUAAAUACGUGCCAGCCGCCGCGGUAA
This 513-nucleotide ribosomal RNA is filed under the name uncultured bacterium. RNAcentral's name for it is "partial 16S ribosomal RNA". It matches the Rfam family "Bacterial small subunit ribosomal RNA", at positions 28 to 523 of the family's 1533-position model. The record is from RNAcentral.